Molecule: ribosomal RNA, 301 nt
Filed under: uncultured bacterium
Lineage: Bacteria
Description: partial 16S ribosomal RNA
Rfam family: Bacterial small subunit ribosomal RNA
Source: RNAcentral
CAGUAGCCGCGGUAAUACGUAGGGUGCGAGCGUUAAUCGGAAUUACUGGGCGUAAAGCGUGCGCAGGCGGUUCGUUAAGACAGAUGUGAAAUCCCCGGGCUUAACCUGGGAACUGCAUUUGUGACUGGCGAGCUAGAGUAUGGCAGAGGGGGGUAGAAUUCCACGUGUAGCAGUGAAAUGCGUAGAGAUGUGGAGGAAUACCGAUGGCGAAGGCAGCCCCCUGGGCCAAUACUGACGCUCAUGCACGAAAGCGCGGGGAGCAAACAGGAUUAGAUACCCCGGUAGUCCCUGUCUCUUAUAC